RNAcentral lists this ribosomal RNA (500 nucleotides) under Penicillium spinulosum. RNAcentral describes it as "eukaryotic LSU rRNA". The stretch from base 137 to 290 matches the Rfam family "5.8S ribosomal RNA". Lineage: Eukaryota; Fungi; Ascomycota; Eurotiomycetes; Eurotiales; Aspergillaceae. The record is from RNAcentral.
GUUUAUUGUACCUUGUUGCUUCGGUGCGCCCGCCUCACGGCCGCCGGGGGGCUUCUGCCCCCGGGUCCGCGCGCACCGGAGACACCAUUGAACUCUGUCUGAAGAUUGCAGUCUGAGCAUAAACUAAAUAAGUUAAAACUUUCAACAACGGAUCUCUUGGUUCCGGCAUCGAUGAAGAACGCAGCGAAAUGCGAUAACUAAUGUGAAUUGCAGAAUUCAGUGAAUCAUCGAGUCUUUGAACGCACAUUGCGCCCCCUGGUAUUCCGGGGGGCAUGCCUGUCCGAGCGUCAUUGCUGCCCUCAAGCACGGCUUGUGUGUUGGGCUCCGUCCCCCCGGGGACGGGCCCGAAAGGCAGCGGCGGCACCGAGUCCGGUCCUCGAGCGUAUGGGGCUUUGUCACCCGCUCUGUAGGCCCGGCCGGCGCCAGCCGACAACCCAUCAUCCUUUUCAGGUUGACCUCGGAUCAGGUAGGGAUACCCGCUGAACUUAAGCAUAUCAAUA